Molecule: ribosomal RNA, 393 nt
Filed under: uncultured bacterium
Lineage: Bacteria
Description: partial 16S ribosomal RNA
Rfam family: Bacterial small subunit ribosomal RNA
Source: RNAcentral
AUACGGAAGGUCAGGGCGUUAUCCGGAUUUAUUGGGUUUAAAGGGAGCGCAGGCGGAUUUGCAAGUCAGCCGUGAAAAUCUGUGGCUCAACCACAGUCGUGCGGUUGAAACUGCAUGUCUUGAGACAGCGCAGCGGCACUGGAAUUCGUGGUGUAGCGGUGAAAUGCUUAGAUAUCACGAAGAACUCCGAUCGCGAAGGCAGGUGCCGGGAGCUGUUCUGACGCUGAGGCUCGAAAGUGCGGGUAUCAAACAGGAUUAGAUACCCUGGUAGUCCGCACCGUAAACGAUGGAUACUCGCGGUAUGGCCGUUAGGUUAUGUCGUUACCCGAAAGGUUUAAGUAUCCCACCUGGGGAGUACGCCGGCAACGGUGAAACUCAAAUGAAUUGACGGGG